Molecule: ribosomal RNA, 484 nt
Filed under: uncultured bacterium
Lineage: Bacteria
Description: partial 16S ribosomal RNA
Rfam family: Bacterial small subunit ribosomal RNA
Source: RNAcentral
AUUGAACGCUGGCGGCAUGCUUUACACAUGCAAGUCGAACGGCAGCGCGGGCUUCGGCCUGGCGGCGAGUGGCGAACGGGUGAGUAAUGCAUCGGAACGUGCCCAGGAGUGGGGGAUAGCCCGGCGAAAGCCGGAUUAAUACCGCAUACGACCUGAGGGUGAAAGCGGGGGACCGAAAGGCCUCGCGCUAUUGGAGCGGCCGAUGUCGGAUUAGCGAGUUGGUGGGGUAAAGGCUUACCAAGGCGACGAUCCGUAGCUGGUCUGAGAGGACGACCAGCCACACUGGGACUGAGACACGGCCCAGACUCCUACGGGAGGCAGCAGUGGGGAAUUUUGGACAAUGGGGGCAACCCUGAUCCAGCCAUGCCGCGUGCGGGAAGAAGGCCUUCGGGUUGUAAACCGCUUUUGUUCGGGAAGAAAUCCUCUGGGCUAAUACCCCGGGGGGAUGACGGUACCGGAAGAAUAAGCACCGGCUAACUACGUG